AACACAUCCAUUCCAGAGUGCUCUGACAGAUAAAACUGACACGCUUGAUGAGGUCACAGUCAAAGCUUUAAAAGCCCGUGUGAUAAAGCAGUCUUCAAUUACUACGGUGUCUGAAUUGCAAGAAGUGACCCUCCACUUAAACAUGUGACAUCUAAACUGUUUUGUGUUUUAGUUCAGCUUUUUAUAGGUUUAUCUUAAGUUGGUUAAAGGCGGAGUGCACUAUUUUUGAAAGCCAAUGUUAACAUUUGAAAUUACCUAAACAAACAUGCCUCUACCCCAAUAGAAUCUGGACCUUCUUUUGAUAGAGCCACCACACACAUACGCAACCCCUGCAAAGAUGUCAGUUAGUAGACACGCCCCUUACUGCUGGUUGGCUACAAGUGUGUUUUGGUAGUCGGCCCAAUUUCCUUUUCCAAAGCGUUUUUCAAACAUUGUGCACUCCGUCUUUAAAUUGCACUUAAACAUUUUUUUUUCAUUAACUUUUUAUGCAGAGAAUUACAUUAUGAUUAUUAUAUAAUCAUUGCUUAUGAAUAUUUAGUGAUUGCAUAUUCAUAGUGUACUUUUCAUUAAUACAUUUAAUGUUAAUGUUGUACAAUUUGAUAGAAGUA
This is a non-coding RNA of Paramisgurnus dabryanus, 608 nucleotides long. NCBI's taxonomy places the organism in Eukaryota, Metazoa, Chordata, Actinopteri, Cypriniformes, Cobitidae. The record is from RefSeq and is a predicted model, not a curated record.